UGGCGGACGGGUGAGUAACGCGUGGGUAACCUGCCUCACGCUGGGGGACAACAGUUAGAAAUGACUGCUAAUACCGCAUAAGCGCACAGGACCGCAUGGUCCGGUGUGAAAAACUCCGGUGGUGUGAGAUGGACCCGCGUUUGAUUAGCUAGUUGGUGGGGUAACGGCCUACCAAGGCGACGAUCAAUAGCCGACCUGAGAGGGUGACCGGCCACAUUGGGACUGAGACACGGCCCAA
This 238-nucleotide ribosomal RNA is filed under the name uncultured bacterium. Its description in RNAcentral is "partial 16S ribosomal RNA". It matches the Rfam family "Bacterial small subunit ribosomal RNA", at positions 96 to 334 of the family's 1533-position model. The record is from RNAcentral.